Molecule: ribosomal RNA, 253 nt
Filed under: uncultured bacterium
Lineage: Bacteria
Description: partial 16S ribosomal RNA
Rfam family: Bacterial small subunit ribosomal RNA
Source: RNAcentral
UACAGAGGUGGCAAGCGUUGUUCGGAAUUACUGGGCGUAAAGGGCGCGUAGGCGGCCGCCUAAGUCAGACGUGAAAUCCCCAAGCUUAACUUGGGAACUGCGUCUGAUACUGGGUGGCUUGAGUUCGGGAGAGGAAUGUGGAAUUCCAGGUGUAGCGGUGAAAUUCGUAGAUAUUAGGAAGAACACCAGUGGCGAAGGCGGCUCACUGGCCCGGUACUGACGCUGAGGCGCGAAAGCGUGGGGAGCAAACAGG